Long non-coding RNA from Gallus gallus (chicken), 2165 nucleotides. Lineage: Eukaryota; Metazoa; Chordata; Aves; Galliformes; Phasianidae. The record is from Ensembl.
UAUAUGUUGCCACAUGACAGACGGCAGCAGAGGGACAGUCUGACGCAAUGGCGUCUGACAUGGAAGUCCAUGUGGAAGCCAAGGCAACAAGAAAACAUCAUUUUCAGCAUGAAUUCUGGAGAAGUCCUGCCUGGGAAAGUGAUAUAUGGUCAGAAGUAGACCCUCACUCUCGAACCUAAUUAGAAGAUUAGAAGCCUUCACUGUUCAGCAAGGUUUUGAGAGGACAGAAGCCUGAGACAGCUGGAUGUGGGAAUAUGAACCAUACCAUGCUCAAGCAGCUUUCUCAUAUUCUUUCUGUAACCAAAAUCCAUCUGUUUAACAUCAACCAAAAUACAGUCUGGGACAAAGUACAUUGUUAAUAGGGUGUGUUUGAGAGAAAAGUCAAAAGGAAGUGCCCUAAACUAAGUGAUUUCUGAAAGUAAUGGCUAUACAGCACAUACCACACAGUAGCACAGCUCUAAUGGAUAUUUUACUUCAGUCAUCACCAUUAACAGUGUGUUUUUGCAGGCCAGAUUCAAAAAUAAAACAGAAUAGGUGACAAAACAACUUCUCGAGUUAAGAGAUAAUAGUUCUUAAAACGAUAUUUUAAGGUUUGUAAGGCAUGAUACAAGAUAGCUGCAAAAUAAUAGCGAUAUUUAAGAAUGGGGAAAGGAGAAGGAUAAAGAAUGUACCUAACUCAACCAAAGAUGCAAUCUUUCCUCUAGAGAAGCAUGAAGAUUUUGGAUCCUUAUAAAGAUUUCAAACCUGGUAGCCACUUUAUCAUUUUAAAAGGUAACAAAUGUGAAAUAAGUACACAAAUUAAAACUUGUGAAACUAUAAGCACAUACAUACACACUGAAAAAAAAACCGAAACCUCAUAGAACAUGGCACACUCAAGUCCACACAUGCUCAGCUAUUUGAAAAAACUUGAUUUUUUUUCCUCCUCAUGAGGAAAAUAGGAUUCACCAUACAACAUCAGAACAACAGUUCAUUUUGUCAGUAAGUUUGUCUCCAACAGUAACCCAAGGCAGUGUUUCAAAGUAUAGAGACUAUUCUUCAAGAAAUAGUCCUAUAUUACCUUGCACCUAGGAAACCAGAUACUAAUUCCAAAAUGUUAACUCAUUUGAAGGCCUUUCAUCUCUCAAGUUCCUCUGUCCCUAAAAUACCAAUAUUAAUACCACUUCUUACCUACUACCUUGCAGCUAGAGACCCUGAUUUUAGGCCACAGUCCUAUAGAGUAGGACUUCAGCACUGUAUAUGAACAGAAACUGUGAGAUCACACCAACACACUUCUCUGAGGUACUGUAAAAAUACAGCUGAACUGAUUCCACUGAGGGAUGCCCCACUCUUGGAUACUGCACCCAGCUGGAUAUCAGUUUGACUGAAAGCUGCACAUUCUCUAACAUUUAAGAAAAGAAUGGAAAAUAUCUCAGAAGUUGAACAGUUUCUAUAUGAAGCAGUCAAAAAGUUAAUGACCACAUAAAAAAGAUCAUUAUAUUUAUGUAAACAAUAUAUUACACAUAAUAUAAUGUAUAUAAUAUAUACAUUUAUAUAUGUCAGAGUUCUUCCUGUGGUCAUCUGUGUGCACAUAACUACUAGAUUUCUACCAACAAAACGAAGGAUGCACAGUAACAAAGGGGACAUGGGGUGAAAUGCUGGACACGAGAAAAACGGAAGCAUGUUAAUGCAGAGACUAAAGCACACAAAAUGCAAUCUAACCUGCAGGAGGGUUUAAGUCUUCUAUCUCUAAAGCCUGUGCAACUCAGAAAGAAGCAUUUUGCAAGUGACACAUCCUUAAGUUUAAAUCAAAGGUUAUAGAAAGAUUUUUGUUUUCCUGUUGCCCUUGUUUCAGCUUCUAGAGAUUUAACAGUGUUCUGCACUAGCACAGUGUUCAUUCUCCAUCUUGAUUUCCUGCCUCUCCCAUUGUAAAUGUUGUUUGGACUGUCUGUUACUAACUUUACUUGUACAGUUGCUCUUAGGCUCACAGAAGGUUCUAUGAAGAUAGGUAGGCACUAGAGUAACUCAAGCAGAUUAUUUUAUCUGGUGACAAAUUUUAUAUGUAUGCUUAUUUUAUAAACGUUUUUAUCCUUGUUUUAUUAAAGAUAACUAAUAAGUAGUUUCCUUCUCUAUAAUUGUAUCCAAAUGAAAGAUGGAUUUGUUUGCUGGUAGAAGCUUGACUAUGUGAG